This 253-nucleotide ribosomal RNA is filed under the name uncultured bacterium. Its description in RNAcentral is "partial 16S ribosomal RNA". It matches the Rfam family "Bacterial small subunit ribosomal RNA", at positions 524 to 776 of the family's 1533-position model. The record is from RNAcentral.
UACGAAGGGUGCAAGCGUUACUCGGAAUUACUGGGCGUAAAGCGUGCGCAGGUGGUUCGUUAAGUCUGAUGUGAAAGCCCUGGGCUCAACCUGGGAAUGGCAUUGGAUACUGGCGACCUAGAGUGCGGUAGAGGGGUGUGGAAUUCCCGGUGUAGCAGUGAAAUGCGUAGAUAUCGGGAGGAACAUCUGUGGCGAAGGCGACACCCUGGACCAGCACUGACACUGAGGCACGAAAGCGUGGGGAGCAAACAGG